CGGAAUGCUUUACACAUGCAAGUCGAACGGCAGCAUAGAGAGCUUGCUCUCUGAUGGCGAGUGGCGAACGGGUGAGUAAUAUAUCGGAACGUACCUAGUAAUGGGGAACAACUAGCCGAAAGGUUAGCUAAUACCGCAUACGACCUACGGGUGAAAGCAGGGGAUCUUCGGACCUUGCGUUAUUAGAGCGGCCGAUAUCUGAUUAGGUAGUUGGUGGGGUAAAAGCCUACCAAGCCAACGAUCAGUAGCUGGUCUGAGAGGACGAUCAGCCACACUGGAACUGAGACACGGUCCAGACUCCUACGGGAGGCAGCAGUGGGGAAUUUUGGACAAUGGGGGCAACCCUGAUCCAGCCAUUCCGCGUGAGUGAAGAAGGCCUUCGGGUUGUAAAGCUCUUUCACAAGAGAAGAAAUCUUACUAUCAAAUAAAUAGUAAGGAUGACGGUAUCUUGAGAAGAAGCACCGGCUAACUACGUGCCAGCAGCCGCGGUAAUACGUAGGGUGCGAGCGUUAAUCGGAAUUACUGGGCGUAAAGCGUGCGCAGGCGGUUUUAUAAGUCAGAUGUGAAAUCCCCGAGCUCAACUUGGGAACUGCGUUUGAAACUGUAAGACUAGAGUGUGUCAGAGGGGGGUAGAAUUCCAUGUGUAGCAGUGAAAUGCGUAGAUAUAUGGAGGAAUACCAAUGGCGAAGGCAGCCCCUGGGAUAACACUGA
This 711-nucleotide ribosomal RNA is filed under the name beta proteobacterium IMCC15239. RNAcentral describes it as "bacterial SSU rRNA". It matches the Rfam family "Bacterial small subunit ribosomal RNA", at positions 40 to 743 of the family's 1533-position model. The record is from RNAcentral. Lineage: Bacteria; Pseudomonadati; Pseudomonadota; Betaproteobacteria.